GGAAAUUUUCCGUCUCCAAUUCCAAAAAUGUCGUCGUGCUGCGGUGGUAAAUGUGGUUGCGGGUCCGGCUGCAGCUGCGGCAGUGGCUGCAACGGGUAAUCUUUCUACCUCUCUGUUUGUUUUCCGAGAAUCUGGAAAAAAGAAAAUCCCAGAAAAUUUCUGCUCUGAUUUGGGUUUUUGACUACAUGGGUUUUUGUUCAGGUGUGGGAUGGCUCCUGAUCUGAGCUACAUGGAGGGGUCCACCACUGAGACCCUCGUGAUGGGAGUUGCUCCCCAGAAGUCGUACGUAUUCUCAUCUCUCAGAAAUGAGAUCCCAAAUUAUUUUUGAAAUAUGUAAUUUGCAGAUUUUGUGGUUAUAAUUUUGGGAGACACGGAGAAACAGAAGUAGAUGGACACCAAACCGACAAUAAAAGUUUUAAAACGACAAUAAAAGGGAAAAGGACUCCGAUCCCUUCCUCCAAUUCAAAUCAGGAAAUUUAUGAUGUUGAAAUUUUUUUCUUUACUAAUUAAUGAAAUCUUUUUGUCAAUCAAAAAAUGAAAGAUAAAUUAGUUUUUUGUUACAAAAAUAUGAUGGGUAAUAAUGUAAUUUUAAAGGUUUAAAUUUUAUUAUUUUUAUUGAAAUAUUACUUGCCGAUGAUAUUAAAAUACCUUUAAUAUUAUAUAAAAAAAUAACCAAAAAAUACCUUCCCAACUCUCCCAGUUCUCUCUCUCUCCUAUUUUUUUUUAAAUGUGUUCAUACAUAUAAAUUGCAAGUAAAUAUUAGUAAUUUUUAAAGUGAGUUUCUGUUUGUAAUCGUUGAAUCUGUAAGGAUUUUCUGAUUUGAUGAUUAGGAGAAAGGGAUAUGCGGAGUGGAUUUAUUCCCAGUAAAAGGAAACAAAAUCAUGAUUUAUGUACGGUUUAUUGUCUGUUUAACAUAAGUUAAAUUUGUCUUUGUUUUGUUUUUAUUGAAACCGCGAUCGGUAUGAUUUAGGGAAGCAUGGAGAGAGAAAGCAUCAUUUAUACACUGACUUAUUGUCUGUUUCGGAGCGCUGUAACAUUUGUUUUGUAAUUUUGAUGUGCAGUCACAUGGAGGCAUCUGAGAUGGGAGUUGCUGCCGAGAACGGAUGCAAGUGUGGAGACAACUGCACCUGCAACCCCUGCAACUGCAAGUGAGAGGGACAGAUGGCACCUUCUGAUGAAGCAAGAGAAUCGCGGGGCUUAUAUGUUUAGCAGUAAUAUAUGUAUGUGUGUGUGUCGUAAUCAUGAAUCAUGAUCCAAAUUUACGAAGGUCGUGUUUUUAGAAUAAAGUGGCCAUGGCUUCUUCUGAGCUGCACGUCCUACUAGGCUGGGAUCUGGUCCUAGGUUAUGGCUGCUUGUUGUCUGUUUGCUUUGUACAUGCAGUAGUCGUAUUUGUGUUUUUAUGUUCGUGUUAACUUGGUGGAUCGUAUUAUGUGUUUCUGAUGAAAUUAAUGAAAAACUUGCUCCAUCUUUUGCUUUAAUUUUUGGGUUAAUUGACAAGGAAAACGAGUGCAAUAAGUUCCAACAACAAAAGUUUCUAAGAUGUUCUGGGGAAAUUUGGAGUACAACAUAUUUCGAUGUUUUAACCUUUUAAGAAUUUGUCAAACAUCCAACGAUUAUCGGAGAAUUUGUGUAGAAAGUCGUAUAUAUGGAGGAGAAAAACACACAAGAAGAAUUAGAUUAGAUCUGUUACUAAUCCAAACAUUUUUAAAAAGGGAUUUUAACAAAAAAAAAAAAAUGGUAUUAUUUAUUUUAACGAAAAAUUAUAUUUUUAUAAUAAAAAAUUAAUAUUAGUACUAUUUAUUUUAUUUUUUUAUUUCGUAUUUAUCGUUAACUUAAAAUUUUUAAAUUAUUUUUAUUAGUUUUUUUUUUUUUAAAAAUAUUAACCAUCUAUUUGGGAUAAUAAUUUAGCCAUUAAUAAGACUCCAAAAAAAUAAUCAUCAAAGUAUUUGGAGAACCAUCAACCCUAUCCUUUAUUUCGUUCCAUGGUUAAAAAAAAAAAAAAGAACAAAAAAGCAGGAACUAGUGGUAAGCUAUGGUUAUUAACCUUUUUUUGGUCCGAAACCGGGAUUGUAAUUUUGUUAUGUCGGUGGUUACGAUCAAGCAGAUCUAACGGCUCGAAAUAUUUCACAUUUUUUCAAAACUCACCCAUCCAAUAUUUAUUGUAUGGUUGUGGUUCAACCACAUUUUUUUGUUGGAAACUCACCCUCGAUCUAAUAUUUAUUGUAUGGUUGUGGUUCACGUUACGCUUUGGACGGGCGAUGUCUUUAUGCUGGGAGCAGCAGCUUUUGGGCACUCCACAUGUUGGUCGAAAAAGUGUCACCGUGACAUCUCAUGUUAGUGUAACAUCUCGGUGAGGACAGUUUCAAUUGUCGAACGAAAAUAUGACGAAGCAUAAGUGCCUUGCCGUAUCAAUGACUCAGCAAUAAGGCUUUGUAAAUUUCAUUCAGUUCAAGAUUGUAACAACAAAUAGAUGGAAUUCAUUAGAAAUCAUGAAUAAUCUUCGUUGCUAGUUUACAAAUCAACACAAACAGGGUCUUUUCAGUCUUUUACAAUGACACGUCCAUAAGGUUUUACUUGGGCGAGAAAUUUCCGUAGAGCUGCCUUCUCACACGGGGUUUGACCAACUUGAGGUUGGAUAGAUUAAAAACUAAAAUACAGGAGGUUUUAGAGUUGGAGUUGACGUGGUCAGACACCCCUAUCCAAAUUUCACAUUUGCUUGACCUGUGAAAUAUCUGAGCAGCUGAGUGUUGCCUUUAUUUCCUUAUCAAGUACCCCUAUCGCUGCUUUGUUAAACAGGUUGACAAUCUGUUAAAAGAAAUUAAUUAGAGCAGAUUAGUAAUCAUUCAUCAUUCAACGGGGAAGGUUGUGGUGAAACUGUCUUCUGGGAUCACCUGCUUAGUUGAGAGGCCUAUUUUCUCCAAAUCGUUCAGCUGAAACAUGCAACGUUCAACAUCACAGUUACUCAAAAACUUAGUUCCAAUUUCGCUGUACCGUUCCAAUUUUAUCGGAUAGUCCAUGAAAAAACAAAUGUAAUUCAAGUUUCAUCUGUUCCUAAACCUUAAUAAACUUGCUUACCGAUUUUAAAGGGCUCGUUUCUCUGAGCUCGAGUAUGUAUUCAGCCAUUUUGACUCCUAUUCCCUGAUUGAUGAACGCGAGGGAAAAAGAAAGUAUCAGAAGGCAAGUAAUUAUUUUAAGAACACACAAAGAUGCAGCAUUUGAUAGGAACCUUUAGCUCCAGCAGCUCUUCCCUGCGGUUGAGAAAACCAGUCGAAAUAUUAGGUUCAUUUGGUAUGAUUGAGUGAAAAAUGCAAGAAACGAAAAAACGAAGAAGCUUCAAAGAGAUGAUAAGAUUUUUACCUGUUGGCUGUGUUCAAGAAGUCAAUAUAAUCUUGAAGUAGGAACUUCUGUGCAAUAAGCGAAAGAAAAACAGAUGAAAAUCACAUUAAAAAGCUAGAACUUAACUAAUAGAGUUGUACGUAAUGAUUGUACCUUCAAGUUUGAUCCGCAAGCAGUGAAUUUAUCAAGUGGGGUGCCUGUCCUUUGGAACAUGUUUUUCGUGCAGGUCGCUAAAGAGGGAGUUUUCGGAGUCUUUGGAUCAAAGAGUAGGGUGCAAUCUCCAUUUGUGAAUAAGGGUUCACUGAGGGGAUUUUGAUUUAUAUUGGUGUUGAUCGGGGAGAGAGCUUUUCUCAAGGAACUUUGAGGUGUGUUUUUCUUCCCGCUGACGGGUGAUGAGUCGUUUGCAAAGUUUUCCUCCUGGUUUGGUGGUUCAGCUAUGCAUAUAUACAAGAAAAUAGUGCAUUUAUUCAAUUUGUUUAGAGUGUUUGAAGGAGCAUAUUAAGUAAUAAAACCAUAUAGAGCUGAAACAUACCAGGUAAACUUGUAUUUGAUUUGAGAACGGAUCCACAAGCUCCAGCAUUGCCCACUUGUUUAUUAUCCUUAGCGGCGAAUUGCAGGCUCUGGAAAGCAAUUCCAACUCAUAAAUACACAAUGACAUAAACAUCAAACGCAAGAUAAACUAAUUCGGAAUGAAUUCAGUAGCUUCUCAUCCCCAAGUGGAACUGUUAAACUCAAACUUUCAAAUAAUAUGCCAUCUCAUGAAUAUCCUAAUGUGAUGAAUAAAGUUUCACAAUAGAGUAAGAAUAAGAAUAUAUUGAAUACACUAUAACGUAGUUCUAAUUUUAUCAUUUUCCAUCCAUGUACUCCCUAAAAUUUAGUAAUUACCUCCAAAUUGGAAUCAACUAGACUUUCAUUGUCGAUUAUGUUCCUGAUAGGUCUUUUGAUUGUCCUGCAAAAAAUUUCAACAAUCAAACAAAAGUGACUAAUGCAUAGCAUGAAGGAUAUACAAUUCAACUAGUUACUUGUCAUUGUACCUUUCUUUCACAGAGCAGGCGCUUCUGUUUGUAUUAACCUUGGAUUUCAUAGAACUGAGGUUGAUGCUGGGUUUCUUGACAUUAGCAAUAGAAGAACUUGGAGAUUUCCCCAACAAGGGAGAAUUGAAUGCUUCAAUUCUUCGCACACUCUUUGUCUUUCCUCUUGAUUCAAGCCAAGUACGGAGUUUGGCUUCCAUGUCAACUUUAACCUUCGGGGUCUCUUGCUUGUGAGCUGAAGGAACAAAGUUGGUAAUGUGGCGUGACCGAGCUGCCAAGCUGACAGUAUGAACAGACUCCUGGUACUCUCCUGGAUUCUAUUAUCAAAGAAAAUUGUUUCCAAUAUAAGUUUCAAAGAAAAAAAAAAGAUAAUAAUAAGUACAGGCCAGACGAAAGCACUUCUAUUCAAACGCUAAUUCAAACUUCUUACCAAGCAAGUAAUCAUCAAAGCCUGACUCAUCCCACCUAGUGAGUCUUGCAAAAUACGAGUCAAUUUACUCUCUCUAUAGGGCACUCGGGAUAAGUUGUUGUUCAGUGCAUAAAUGACAUUUGAUAAUGCAAACAAGGACUGGUUAAUCUUCGCACUCUCUUGGAGACGGAUCCCUUCGUUGCAAGUUCUUCUAUUAUCUUCAUUACCUGCUUGAAAUACACAUGUAGAUUAAAUAAAGAAAAGACAAAGAUCAUGUACUUUAUUUAUAGGGAAAAGUUUAGGAGUGAGAAAAGACCUGCUAAAUCUAUGAGAUUCAACUUCCCAGUAACAGCAUCCCCAGAACCAUCAUCAAGAGUUGAAACGGCAAUCACAAGGACACCAUGGCUCCUACUAGACACAUCAUUGAGACCUGUAUGGGCAGUUUUCCGCCUCUGAAUCCCACAAGAAAAGGCCUCAUAAAACUCAAACAUGGACUUUACAGGGACCCGAGACAGCCCCUUAAGAUGAACCUGCCCAUCUUUGUCAUCCAAAACCGUAAUUUCCUUGGCUUUGAUCUCUAACAGGUCAUAACACCUGUCCAUAUAGACCUCGUAGUAUGAUAGCUCAACUGAGCUUCCUGUGCUCUGGCACAUAGACAGGAUUUUGGACAUGGACAGCUCCAUUAGACCCGGCAUCUCAUCCGUGCCCUGGAACAUAAAAUCCCAUGCUGGAUUAACAUUACAGAAGAAAAUGCUUCAGAACAAACACUAAAAGCUGCAUUUAGUUACUUUUAACCUAUGCUAAUUCACAAAUUUCUUUUCUUUCUGGGGAUAAUUACAGAUGAUUAUCCAGAUUAAUGAUUUAUUAAUCAUAAAAUGCCUUCACUAAUGUUUCAUAUGGGUGGUCAGACGUUGGUGUAGCCACAUUGGGUAGAGCGGAUGUGCUCCCCCUCCCCGCAGUUUAGAUUAGUUUAAAAAUUAAAAUGGAACAUCGAUUAUGUAAAAAGAAACGAAAAAAAAAAGUUCAUAUCUUUGGAGAAUUCAAAUUCAAAACUGAAUUUUUGCCAAAAGAAGUAAAAAAAAUUUCAAACCUGUAUAGUGUAAGUCUUUCCACUUCCAGUAGCUCCGUAGGCGAACACCGUCGCAUUGCAGCCAUGAAAGAGUCCCGGAAUCAAGGGGCAAACUUCUCUACUGAAGAUCCGGCCAACAUUGUUAUCCUCCGGGGCAAAGAAGGAGUCUAACCGAUAGCACUCGUUUCGGCUACACCCCGAAAAACAAAAUCAGGAGUCACCAUCAAAACCCAGCUUCCCAAAUCAAGAAAGCCAAAAUUCAUCUCCGAAUUGGCUGACAGAAAAGCAAGAAAAUUACUCACCUUGUCACUUUAUCUUUGAGAUGAACAACCACUUCCUCGGUCGCAAACUCGGAUUCUUUUUCGAUAACGGAAGCGCACGGCGUCGGAUCUCUGUUACCGUCAGCGAUCUCUUGGGGAAGAAAAGGGCGCACCCGAGCGAUCACCCUGACCUUCGAAAUUGAACUGGGGUUCGUAGAUUUUGCUGGAGUUGCAGAAGAACUGUCAAGAGCUCGACCCACCUCCAUUGGAACAAAGGAAAGAGCUUUAGCUUGGAUUUCAAGUGAGAGAGAGAAUUGGGAAUUUGCAGAACGGUCUGUAACUGAAAGAUGGAGAUUAAGAGGAGGUCUGAAACUAUUUGUCGAACGUUGGGGCUUUUUCAGUUUGAAUUUUUGGAUUGGGUGCGGACUGUGCCGUUGGGCCUCGUGUGUGGUGGGGGCCUAUUUCUUACUCCUUCGGAAUGUUUGCUGUUUAGGAUGAGAGAUUUUUUAGUAUAACCGCUAUACGGAUGGGACGUGUUAUUAUACAAAUGAUGAGAUAUAAAUUUUUGUGUUUUGACUGUCGAACGUGGUUUGUACCCAUGUUGAGUCAAGUGACAUCUAAAUGUAGGAAGCCCAUUGUCGAACGUGGUUUGUACCCAUGUUGAGUCAAGUGACAUCUAAAUGUAGGAAGCCCAUUAUUUAUGAGCAAGUAGGACAGUGUAAUUAUACAAAUGAUGAGAUAUAAAUUUUUGUAUUUUGACUGUCGAACGUGGUUUGUACCCAUGUUGAGUCAAGUGACAUCUAAAUGUAGGAAGCCCAUUAUUUAUGAGCAAGUCGGACAGUGUAAUUAUUUCGACUAACACGUACAAGAACUAGUUCUUUUUUUUUUUUUUUGGGAGGGGGUGGGGUUAGCCUUACAAAGGGUUAGUAAAUAGUGUGGUUCAAAUUCGCUUUUAGCGAGAAUUGAACCUAAGACCUUUUAUUUAUAGGUGAAGGUGAAUACCACUAGAUCGUAGUACUAAGUGGCAUCAAUAACUACUUUCUAAACAAUGAUAAAUUCUUCCCCGUUGCUUGUUGAGAUCAAAUGAGGCCCAUAGUAAGUAUGGUCGUAUUGUCUUUGCAUUAGAAGAAAGACUUUUAUGAUAUAAGUAUACACUAUCUUGACAUUUGGUGUCAAUACUAUAAAAACAUGUGUAAAUUUUUAUUUAUAGCAUCGUAUCAUUAACAUAAUUUGUUGAUAGUAUAACUAGGAUUUGGAUUUCGGAUCCAAAUUGUAGGAAUUCUAGAAAUUCUCACAUCUUAAUUGUUUAUCGUACAUCAUGCAGUCAGAAAUUAUUUUGAAUUUAUUUAUUUAAAACUAAACAUAAAUAAUAAUGAACAUUAAAUGCACAAUAUACGAUAAACGAUCAUGAUGUAAGGAUUUCUGAAAACACCACAAAAAAGAUCCGGUGGAUUCUCAUCCGUAUAACCAUGCCAUCAAGUUGCUCUCAUGAAUUUUCGAAGUAAAAAAAGCUGCUCUCAUGAAUUUGGUUUGUAUAUGGGCCCCCACCAUGGACCCACAACUUGUAAGACAAAGCCGCAUAUGACCGGCGGAGGGAAACUCUCUCCCAACCAGGCCCAAAUGGCCCCCUCGUCAGAGUUUCAAUUACCCAAACGUUUGAGGACCUGUCAGCAAGGCGGCGCAAAUAUGUGAAGGGUUUUAGACAAAGACCGUAAUUGUAUAUGCGUUAAACCCUAAACCCCCAAAAUUGUGGGAAAUCACGAAGAUGGAGAAGGGCAUGCUGUCUGCAAACUUGGAGGGUCUUCCCGAAGAAGACAAGCACAGAAUGGCCACCUUGAUCGACCAACUCCAGAUUCGCGACAGGUUUUUCUGAUUUUUUUUUUAAAUGCAGUGUUUUUUUGUAAUUUGUUCUCAGUAAUUUGUGAUUAGUGAGGCAUGUUCUUGAUACGGUGCAUGAUAGAUUGAAGUCUUAGAAAAAUACCCACAAAAUUAAAUGGUUAAUUGUUAGCAGGAAAUUUGAAACUACGAUGUGAUUCCAAUGUAAUCAAGUAUAUGUUUUGAAAUUUUGAAAACCGAACCGAACCGGAUAUAUGUCUUGGGUUUGGCUCAUGGUUUUGAUGAUGAACUGGCCCAAACCGAACUGUGCCCAUCCCUACUGAUUUCGGUUGUGUUUGUCCAAAAAAUGCAGUCUGAGGAUGUAUAAUUCAUUGGUGGAGAGAUGCUUUACCGACUGCGUAGACACCUUUUAUCGCAAAGCGCUGACGAAGCAAGAGGAUACGUGCGUUCGUAGGUGCGCUGAGAAGUUCCUCAAGCACUCGAUGCGCGUUGGCAUGAGGUUUGCAGAGCUUAAUCAAGGAGCGGCUACUCAAGAUUAAGCUAAGCUCUAUGUAUGAAUCAUUUUUUGGUAUGGAAGGUCUUGGAAAUCUUUCGAGUCGGUUUACGGAAGUUGCAAUUUGUUUAGCCUUGAUUCUAGAAUUGUGUUUCUUACACUGAUUAGAUUCGUACAUUUUCAAAAGAAAAAAAAUAUUCAUGGUGAGGUUUUACAGUUAGCUGGAACUGGAUAUGAAUUGGUUAUGAUUUAUGAUUUUGCCCUUUUAUUCGCGUAUCAUAUCUGGUGUGGUAAAUUCGUUGUGUACACGUAGACUGUGAUUGAAAGUUUAGGAGGAACGGCUCCUUGCCUCUGCAGCAUUGCAAGUGUAGAGAUUGAGAUUGUGUAGUUUUGUUCAUUGAUGAAGUCCCGACUGCGAAAAAAUGAAUAUAGGAUUUGGGAUUGAUAGACUUUGAUGCAACCCUUCAUUCUUGGUAUACAGAUCCUUCCAUUCUUCCCCUUAAUUUAGAACUUGACUUCGGUUGGCAGUGAUCUUGAUAGUGAGGCAACCAAGUGAUUUAGAUUAGAUGAGAAGAAAAUUGGUUUGUAAAAUCACCGCCUUCUGAGCCUUUUCCCCUUUCUGCUAAGGAUGAUAAAGAUUACGAUGUGACUGUGAAAGUAUCUCAAGGACUAGAAAAGGAAAACUCGAAGGGAGAUUACCUAACAGUGAAUGAAGAAGUUGCCAGUUGGUCUCCCGGGCAUGGAGGUCCCUGCUUGAACUUGAUGAGCAAUUAGGCAGAAAUGUGAGCAAGCAGAUGCAGGGGAUUGAAUUGAACAUGCUGUGAUGCAGGCAAUUUUUUGCUUCGAUGAUUGUUUUGGAAUGCAGUUUUCUAGUGCUUGUUAUUUGGGAUUCAAUCAUGUAUAUUUUUACGUUGAGUUGUGUUAUUGAAGGAAGGAUGAAGGUUGUUCUUGGUAAAGAUUCCAUGAUGCUUUGUGGGGAAGUUGUUGGAUAUAAAGAUGUCAAAUGCUAG
This 9444-nucleotide long non-coding RNA is filed under the name Malus domestica (apple). Its description in RNAcentral is "long non-coding RNA (MDOM_LNC011489)". Lineage: Eukaryota; Viridiplantae; Streptophyta; Magnoliopsida; Rosales; Rosaceae. The record is from RNAcentral.